RNA transcript from Homo sapiens (human), 1383 nucleotides. It is a transcript of the gene named TMPRSS11B N-terminal like (pseudogene), with no coding region annotated. The transcript has 10 exons. The record is from RefSeq and is marked validated. Lineage: Eukaryota; Metazoa; Chordata; Mammalia; Primates; Hominidae.
GUUAAACAAGUUUCCUUUUCAUUGUUUUUUGCUAUUUUACCCAGCCCUUAAAAUCUCAACUAUCAUUGCGGUUAGCACAUUUACCAGAGAAGCACUGAUCAGGACAAAAGAAGUGCAGAACUUUUCUUUAUAUUUAUUUACUUCAACAGCCAUUAUAUCAGCACAUUAUGUAUAGACCAGUCAUGGCUUCCUGUACAUCUGUGUCACUAUGGAUGAUUGCCCUUCUUGUGUUUGGAGUGUUGGCAAUCUUUGGAAUAACUAUUGGUCUCCUUGUUCAUUUUCUGGCAGUAGCAAACAGGAUCUACUUCUACCAAGGUAGCUUUAAAAUGCUGGAUAUCCCAUAUAAUAGCAAUUAUGAAAGGGAGACAUCACCAGAAAAUAACUAUCUUAGCCAAAUUCUUGAGACUAGAUGGUUGAUGCAUUUCAAAGUUCUAGCAUUUACAGACAAUAUAUCUUUUCUCAAGUCAUCACACUGUCCUGAUAACAACAGAGUGACAGCACAUAUAUGGCUGGUAUUCAAGGGUCCAAGAUCAAUGAAAGAAAACACAAGAAAAAGAAUUGAAAGUAUCUUACAUCAGAUGCUGAAGAACCACUCAGGAUCCUUGACUACAGAUCUGAAUUCUCUGAGGCUUAUGGAAAUCAGUAAGGUCAGUGCUGCAAAAAUUAUCAACAACCGUAAGCUGUGGGAGACGAGCAAGGAUGCCACCUACAUUUGAUAGAGUCAGGGGAGGUUCCAUUGAUCAGGAAGGAGAAUGACCAUGACAAGCAAGCCUUAAAAUGAGUGGGCAACACUACUGUGGGGCAUCAUUGAUCAGUGAAAGACACUUGGUGACUGCAGCUCACUGUUUUAAAGUGACAAAAAAUCCAAAAAACUAUACUGUCAGCUUUGGCACGAAAGUAACUCUUCCCUAUAUGCAACAUGAUGUUCAACAAAUUAUUAUUCAUGAAGACUACAUCCAGGAUGAACAUCAUGAUGAUAUCGCACUUAUACUGCUCACUAAAAAAGUUUUAUUUAAGAAUGAUGUACAUCGAGUUUGUCUUCCUGAAGCCACACAGAUUUUUCCACCUGGUGAAGGAGUUGUUGUUACAGGAUGGGGAAGACUUUCAUUUAAUGGUAAACACCUAGUGUUCCUUUAGAAAGCAUCUGUGAAGAUUACUGAUACAAACACUUGUAAUGCUAAAGAAGCCUAUCGUAGUAUGGUACAGGAUAGAGUGCUAUGUGCUGGGUACAUGGAAGGAAAUAUAGACGCCUGCCAGGGAGACUCUGGAGGACCACUAGUUCAUCCUAAUUCUCUAAAUAUUUGGUAUAUUUGGUACCUUGUUGGAGUAGUGAGCUGGGGAAGGAAUGAAUGUGGUGCAAUCAAUAGUCCAGGGGUCUACACG